RNAcentral lists this unclassified non-coding RNA (2045 nucleotides) under Actinia tenebrosa (Australian red waratah sea anemone). RNAcentral's name for it is "nucleoporin 88-like, transcript variant X2". The record is from RNAcentral. Lineage: Eukaryota; Metazoa; Cnidaria; Anthozoa; Actiniaria; Actiniidae.
CGUCCUCGGACAUUGAAGAAACAAAAUGGCGGAAAAAUAUCGUUGGAUUGAAAAGUUGUCAAAACAUCCACUUUUUCAAACAGUUCUCGAGUGCUACCAUAAAGACAACUCCACUACGGAAGCAAGGAAUGUCUUAGCUGAGAGAGAAGGGGAGUUAUUUGUGUGGGUGCCGGAAAAAUCUCGUAUUUUCACGACCAAUCUGAAAAACGUGUUGUUUGAAAAUGAGCGAGCUGAUAAAUAUCAAGAAUUUCUCUUCACCAAGCAUCCAUUAUUCAAAGUCCAUACACUAAGGUUCAGUCUAACUGGCAGGUAUCUUGCUCUGGUUGGUCACAAGGGGAUUAGUGUUAUUGAGAUGCCACAACGCUGGGGCAGGUUUGCCGAGUAUCAAGGCGGAGCAGACAUUGUCAACUGUAGGACUAUAACAGUCGAUGAGAGGUUUUUCACUGUUCAUGCCAAGACUGUUGCCCUUGAGGCAAGAUGGCACCCAUCCAGUCACACGGACAGUCACCUAGUUGUACUCACUUCUGAUAACAUGCUGAGGAUAUACAACAUCCUUCAACCUGAAGUUCCAGAACAAGUCAUCAACCUUAGUGACCCAUUCUCAUCUGAAGUUAACCAGAGCAGAAGCACAAUGACAUCAGCAUCAGCAUUUGCAAUAGCCCUGGGAGAGACGUCUGUAUCAUUUGACUUUGCUCCUCCAAUAAGGAAAUGUAAACCUCGAUUCAAGAAUGAAAGUAGCUCUGCAGUUGAAGCAGAGCCAGUUUAUCCCCUGUUUAUACUGAGAGAGAAUGCAGAUGUGUACUAUUUGGUGUUUGAGCUGGGUAACAAGGGGUUUGGAUUAGAAUCAGUUGGUCCGCUCACCAUGCACCCUGCCACAGACAACAACUAUGGUCUAGAUGCUUGUUCAAUAAUCUGUCUGCAGUCCCAACCCCCUGUGGUUGUCAUGGCAACUGCUAAUGGCAGGAUAUAUCAUUGUAUUGUUCUUGAGAGUAACGAUGAAAGUGAUUCAGCUCAAGGAGACAAGAAUGAAUCCUGGAGUGAUCAGCAGUUGACAGUAUCAGAUCUUACCUUGUAUGUUCAUGAGUGUGUGGAGUUACAGAGAUCUAUUGCAGGCAGGGAUGUUGACGAGUCAUCUCAAGCCAGUCAUGAUUCUGUGGAAUCUCUCAAUUCAUGUCCUGUUCAGCUCUAUCGAGAUUCUGCCUCAUCAAAUCAAUACCAUUGCUGCCAUCCAUCGGGAGUACACAGUAUAGUGUUACCCUGGGUUAGAAAAUUGGAAUCUUUCUGUAUCGAAGAUGGUGUUGAAGGAGCUACAAUGUUUGACACAGAUGAAGAAGCAAUAGUUUAUCACAUGGUUUGCACAACACCCUCCACUGAAAGUGCUCCAUCACCCGUACAUGGACUGUGUGUAAUCAACAACCUUAUUCUAGGAUCAUCUCUUGUUUGUCUGACAGACAGGAUGGAGUGUAUAGCAAGACCUCUAGACUUACUUCAAAGACCAUUAGCUCCGCCAUCAAACACAGAGGAGGAGGAGGAGGAUGAAAAGAAUUAUAAAGGAAUCAAGUCUCCAAUGCGUCAUCUAUUAUCAGGAUCAUUUGUUGAACACAUCAGAAAGAUUCUAACGCGAAACACUUCAACACCACUGAUCAGGGCACAAUCCACCAGUGAUCUUUCCCAAGAAGACCGUCUUAAGAUUUUUACAGAAGCACAGCAGAUCUUGAGGGAGGAAUAUUUACAAAGACAGAACCGUGCUAAAGUAGAAAUAGAAAAAAAGAGUUUCCAUUUUGAGAGAUCAAAAAAAGAAACAAGAGCAGGAUCUUGAUAACCUUCGAAGAAAUCGAGAUGCCGUUAGGAAUAAAGCAGAAGAGUUAGCCGACAAGAUAGAAGAUGUGAUAUCACAGGAUAUUGAGUUGUCGGACAAACUGGAGAAUGUUUGUCAGCACAUUGAGACACAAAUCCCUGUGAUCUCAAAGGCAGAGGGGAAAAUGAGAGAAGAACUUGAAACAAUCCAACUUCGUGUAAACUUCUUACAAGAUUCACUCGAUCAG